GCGGAGGAAGAGACACCACACCGGAUGCCCCCAGAAGGGGCAAGCGAAAAGGGCGGAACCCAAGCGCGGAAACGCGAUUUGCGUCGCGUGCUGUCGCGUGUSGGCGCCGGACUAUGCCUCCGGGAACCNUCCGACGAAAUGGCCAUGAAGCGGGCUGCCUUAGGCGGNUNAGAGACCCNAUCGGAGGCUACCGAGGCAGGGCGGCGUCCGCCGGAGUCGAACUGUUUGANAUCGCAGUUCCAACGGUUGGUGAGCGCCAUCCAAGGUUAAACACGAGCGGGAAUCCGAUAGCGAAGAAGUACCGUGAGGGAAAGCUGAAAAGGACUUUGGAAAGAGAGUGAAAAGUACCCGAAACCGCGCUUGCGGAACCGCUUUNGANGACGUCUCGGACGCGAGUCCGUCCGCCAGCGCCCGGCGCGCCUUUGGGAGUCUUCCCCUCGGCGUCCGCGCGCGGCCCUCGGACCAUUUGUCGCAAGC
This 477-nucleotide ribosomal RNA is filed under the name Flabellia petiolata. Its description in RNAcentral is "eukaryotic LSU rRNA". The stretch from base 1 to 357 matches the Rfam family "Archaeal large subunit ribosomal RNA", at positions 191 to 548 of the family's 2987-position model. The record is from RNAcentral. Lineage: Eukaryota; Viridiplantae; Chlorophyta; Ulvophyceae; Bryopsidales; Halimedaceae.